GAACAUCUCGACAGACUCCCCGCCACCAGGAACGUGCCUGCUACUUGACAGAGCCAGGGAGGGAGGAUUGGCUGAUCUGGGGUUUUAUCAGCCCCCAGGAGAUGGGAGGCCCAGGCUCCAGCUGCGGUGGAGGACAAAGGGGGCUUGUUUCGGUGACAAUGGUGCCUUUCAGGAGGGAGGAGGUGGCUUUUGUUAAGGGGGAACGAUGAGUUCAAGGGGUUCUGACUUAUUCUGGCAAGUUUCUACAGCUCUACAAGAACUUCUAGUGCUCUGGGCAGCUGCAAGGGGUCAAGAAACCACAUCCCCAAAUCCAGCGGGAUCUCAGAGAGAAAGGCUGAUGGGAAGCUGCCCAGGACUGACCUGGCACAUGCUGGGAAAACCCCUUGGUGCCAGGGCAGGAGGCAGAGCAUCUGCGGCUCCUCCCUCCCCAUCACAGGGGGUAAGGAAUACAGCAGAACGGGAAUUGGGUGCCUUCAUGCUGCUGUUACUGCCCUUGGUUCUGGCUUCUUUCACUUGGAAACCCCAGGAGCUAAGUUCCUGUUGACGAGGCGGCCCAGCUCCCCAGGUGUGGCUGUGUUCCGGAUAUCCACGUCGUGGGGGGAUACAUAAAGCUUUGUGUCAUUCAGGUCAAAGAACUCAACUUCUGUGAGACCCACCCACCACGAGUUGCCCCAGUUGGACAGGAUCUCCAUGGUCACGUAGAUGGCAUCUUUGAUCUCGUCUGCCCUUGUUCUCUGUUUGUCCUUAAAGAAGAGAAAAAUAACACCAAAGGAUUAAGUCAUGACAGGCUUGAAUUCAGCUCUACCUCUGCUACCACUGCCUUCAAAAAGUUAGUUAACCUUCAGUGUCUCAGUCUCUCCAUCUGUACAAUGAGGAUAAGAAUAGCACCCACUACCUAUGGUUAUUCCUAUGAUCAAAUGAAUUCAUACUGUAAAGCAUUCAAAAUAGAGUCCCUGUGUAACUGGCACUCUGUGAGCAUUCUGUUUGAGAGUUUAGAAAUAAAUAAAAAUGUCUAAAAAGCAUUGAA
This is a long non-coding RNA of Piliocolobus tephrosceles (Ugandan red Colobus), 1027 nucleotides long. RefSeq lists it as uncharacterized. The record is from RefSeq and is a predicted model, not a curated record. Lineage: Eukaryota; Metazoa; Chordata; Mammalia; Primates; Cercopithecidae. The transcript has 3 exons.